Molecule: long non-coding RNA, 421 nt
Filed under: Malus domestica (apple)
Lineage: Eukaryota; Viridiplantae; Streptophyta; Magnoliopsida; Rosales; Rosaceae
Description: long non-coding RNA (MDOM_LNC016893)
Source: RNAcentral
CUCUAAUACAAUACUCUUGACCACAUUGUUUGGUUUGAUAGUUUAUUUAUUCAUGUCUACUAUCCAAUGUGAUUUGUGUGCUUAUAUGAUUACCUUGAAUGUGAUUUGGAACGCAUUCCUAAAUCUCAUUCAUACUCUGGCCAGAGAUUCUAAAUCAUAUCAUAGAGUAUUCUCCCUCAAACAGUUUGAAGGUUAGAGAUCCCUUGUUGCGCAUUCACUUGCCUCAAUGGCUCAGUGGCUUAACCCCAACGAUGCCGUGGACACUCCAAUGGAAUGACGUUUGACAUAAUCAAAGAUCAAGGACUUAACCACAAGACAACGACGAUGCCUCAGGUCAAAGGACUAUUUUGCAUUAUCCCAACCAUGAGUUCUCAUGUGACAUGAAUAUGAGAACUCUUCGUUGAUCGUGUUCAGUGAACUC